RNAcentral lists this ribosomal RNA (442 nucleotides) under uncultured bacterium. RNAcentral's name for it is "partial 16S ribosomal RNA". It matches the Rfam family "Bacterial small subunit ribosomal RNA", at positions 338 to 795 of the family's 1533-position model. The record is from RNAcentral.
CCUACGGGAGGCAGCAGUAGGGAAUCUUUCACAAUGGGCGAAAGCCUGAUGGAGCAACGCCGCGUGCAGGAUGAAGGCCUUCAGGUUGUAAACUGCUUUUAUAAGCGAGAAAUGUGAUGGUAACUUGUGAAUAAGGAUCGGCUAACUACGUGCCAGCAGCCGCGGUCAUACGUAGGAUCCGAGCAUUAUCCGGAGUGACUGGGUGUAAAGAGUUGCGUAGGUGGCAUAAUAAGUAGCUAGUGAAAUCUGUUGGCUCAACCAUUCAGACUAUUAGCUAAACUGUUAAGCUCGAGACCGUUAGGGGUAACUGGAAUUUCUAGUGUAGGAGUGAAAUCCGUAGAUAUUAGAAGGAACACCAAUAGCGUAGGCAGGUUACUGGGAUGGUUCUGACACUAAGGCACGAAAGCGUAGGGAGCAAACGGGAUUAGAUACCCCUGUAGUC